Molecule: ribosomal RNA, 445 nt
Filed under: uncultured bacterium
Lineage: Bacteria
Description: bacterial SSU rRNA
Rfam family: Bacterial small subunit ribosomal RNA
Source: RNAcentral
ACCAGACUCCUACGGGAGGCAGCAGUGGGGAAUAUUGCACAAUGGGGGGAACCCUGAUGCAGCGACGCCGCGUGGGUGAAGGAGCACCUCGGUGCGUAAAGCCCUAUCGGCAGGGAAGAAACAGACGGUACCUGACUAAGAAGCCCCGGCUAACUACGUGCCAGCAGCCGCGGUAAUACGUAGGGGGCAAGCGUUAUCCGGAUUUAUUGGGUUUAAAGGGUGCGCAGGCGGCACGGCAAGCCGGCGGUCAAAUCGCGGGGCUCAACCCCGCCCAGCCGUCGGAACUGCCGGGCUAGAGUGGGCGAGAAGUGCGCGGAAUGCGUGGUGUAGCGGUGAAAUGCAUAGAUAUCACGCAGAACUCCGAUUGCGAGGGCAGCGCACCGGCGCCCUACUGGCGCUCAGGCACGAAAGCGUGGGUAUCGAACAGGAUUAGAUACCCCAGUAU